Molecule: ribosomal RNA, 801 nt
Filed under: uncultured bacterium
Lineage: Bacteria
Description: bacterial SSU rRNA
Rfam family: Bacterial small subunit ribosomal RNA
Source: RNAcentral
CCCUGAUUCAGCGGCGGACGGGUGAGCAAUGCCUAGGAAUCUGCCCGAUAGUGGGGGACAACGUUUCGAAAGGAACGCUAAUACCGCAUACGUCCUACGGGAGUAAGUGGGGGAUCUUCGGACCUCACGCUAUCGGAUGAGCCUAGGUCGGAUUAGCUAGUUGGUGAGGUAAUAGCUCACCAAGGCGACGAUCCGUAACUGGUCUGAGAGGAUGAUCAGUCACACUGGAACUGAGACACGGUCCAGACUCCUACGGGAGGCAGCAGUGGGGAAUAUUGGACAAUGGGCGAAAGCCUGAUCCAGCCAUGCCGCGUGUGUGAAGAAGGUCUUCGGAUUGUAAAGCACUUUAAGUUGGGAGGAAGGGCAGUAAGCUAAUACCUUGCUGUUUUGACGUUACCAACAGAAUAAGCACCGGCUAACUUCGUGCCAGCAGCCGCGGUAAUACGAAGGGUGCAAGCGUUAAUCGGAAUUACUGGGCGUAAAGCGCGCGUAGGUGGUUCAGCAAGUUGGAUGUGAAAUCCCCGGGCUCAACCUGGGAACUGCAUCCAAAACUACUGAGCUAGAGUACGGUAGAGGGUGGUGGAAUUUCCUGUGUAGCGGUGAAAUGCGUAGAUAUAGGAAGGAACACCAGUGGCGAAGGCGACCACCUGGACUGAUACUGACACUGAGGUGCGAAAGCGUGGGGAGCAAACAGGAUUAGAUACCCUGGUAGUCCACGCCGUAAACGAUGUCAACUAGCUGUUGGGUUCCUUGAGAACUUAGUAGCGCAGCUAACGCGAUAAGUUGACCGCCUGGGGAGUA